GUCCUAGUCCUACGGGAUGCUGCAGGCGCGAAAACUCUGCAAUGCGCGCAAGCGUGACAGGGGAACUCUGAGUGUUAGAGGACUUAGUCCUCUAUCUUUUGACAACCCUAAAUCGGUUGUAGAAUAAGGUCUGGGCAAGACUAGUGCCAGCCGCCAUGGUAGAUGCUAAAUGCACCCUACCCACGGUAAGCGGUAAUACUAGCAGAACAAGUGGUAUCCACGAAUAUUGGGUCUAAAGGGUCCGUAGCUGGCCUGUUAAGUUUUCUGUGAAAUCUUGGAGCUCAACUUCAAGGCGUGCAGGAAAUACUGGCAGGCUUGAGAGUGGGGGAGGUUAGGGGUACUCACGGGGUAAGAGUAAAAUCUUGUAAUCCUGUGAGGACUUCCAGUGGCGUAGGCGCCUAACCAAAACACGUCUGACAGUGAGGGACGAAGGCUAGGAGAACGAAUCGGAUUAGAUACCCGAGUAGCCCUAGCAGUAAAUUAUGCAGACUGUGGUGUUGCGGUUGCUUCGAGCAACUGCAGUGCUGUAGCGUAGGUGUUAAGUCUGCCACCUGGGGAGUACG
RNAcentral lists this ribosomal RNA (563 nucleotides) under uncultured euryarchaeote. RNAcentral's name for it is "bacterial SSU rRNA". It matches the Rfam family "Archaeal small subunit ribosomal RNA", at positions 314 to 839 of the family's 1478-position model. The record is from RNAcentral. Lineage: Archaea; Methanobacteriati; Methanobacteriota.